CCUGACGGUAGUCGUAUGCUCGUCUCCGAGACUAAGCCAUGCAAGUCCAAGUACACGUCCUUGAACGACGGAAACUGCGAACGGCUCAUUAAAUCAGUUGCGAUCUACUCGGCGUUCCGCGCCGCCGGAUAACCGUAGUAAUUCUAGGGCUAAUACGUGCGAAGCGCCCGAAGCCGCGAGGCGACGGGCGUUCUCGCCGGAUGUAGGAACCGACCCGGGGACCGCCGGGGCAACCCGGCGCCCCCCGAGACGGGGCGAACCACGGUGAAAUGACGGAUCGUCGGCCCCGCGCCGGCGACUCGCCGAAUGAGUUUCUGACCUAUCAACUCGAGACGGCGGGGUAGAGGCCCGCCGCGGUAACGACGGGUAACGGGGAAUCAGGGUUCGAUUCCGGAGAGGGAGCCCCGAGAAACGGCUACCACUUCCAAGGAGGGCAGCAGGC
Molecule: ribosomal RNA, 442 nt
Filed under: uncultured eukaryote
Lineage: Eukaryota
Description: bacterial SSU rRNA
Rfam family: Eukaryotic small subunit ribosomal RNA
Source: RNAcentral